Molecule: transfer RNA, 87 nt
Filed under: Chamaesiphon sp.
Lineage: Bacteria; Bacillati; Cyanobacteriota; Cyanophyceae; Gomontiellales; Chamaesiphonaceae
Description: tRNA-Ser
Rfam family: tRNA
About the family: Transfer RNA (tRNA) molecules are approximately 80 nucleotides in length. Their secondary structure includes four short double-helical elements and three loops (D, anti-codon, and T loops). Further hydrogen bonds mediate the characteristic L-shaped molecular structure. tRNAs have two regions of fundamental functional importance: the anti-codon, which is responsible for specific mRNA codon recognition, and the 3' end, to which the tRNAs corresponding amino acid is attached (by aminoacyl-tRNA synthetases). tRNAs cope with the degeneracy of the genetic code in two manners: having more than one tRNA (with a specific anti-codon) for a particular amino acid; and 'wobble' base-pairing, i.e. permitting non-standard base-pairing at the 3rd anti-codon position.
Source: RNAcentral
GGAUAGGUGGCUGAGUGGCCGAAAGCGGCACACUGCUAAUGUGUUAUGGGGGUGACCUCAUCGAGGGUUCGAAUCCCUCCCUGUCCG